Molecule: long non-coding RNA, 2163 nt
Filed under: Vulpes vulpes (red fox)
Lineage: Eukaryota; Metazoa; Chordata; Mammalia; Carnivora; Canidae
Description: lncRNA (ENSVVUG00000018928.1)
Source: RNAcentral
AUUUUAAGGAGAUAGAUUUGUUACAGAUGGGCAGAAGGGAAGCAGACAUUUUCUUUCAUGAACAAGACAUUUUGCUUGCAAAUAAAGAGUGGUUCUCCUUUUUCUGAUGGAAAGAAAAAAGAAGAAAGAAAUACAUAGAACGGCCAAACUGCUGUCACCCACCCAAGGCUUGGCGAAUGCCUCCCGGGACUGGGAGCGAGGUGGCCACACAGCAACCAGCCCUGUGCCCCGGACCACAGAGAGGAGCACUUGGCGGGCCCUGAAUAUGGGCUCUUCAGCGCUCUCAUAAAUCAAACCAGAUUUGCCUGAGAUUGGGCAUGGGAGAGGCCACGCUCAAACAGACCUACUUGAGAGCGUAUUUUCUAGGAUUGAAUCACUGCAGCUUGAACAUAUUCUUAAACGUAAACGUCCAAUUAGACAGAAUCUGCUUUACAUUGUUCUAAUUAGCAACCUGCCAAGCUUGAUUGUUGAUAGGAUAAAUGGGUCAUCUAUGUUUCAUUGAAGUUUUUCUUUUUUUAAUGAGUGGUUGGGGUGGGGUGUGUGUGUUUCACUGUUAUUUUGUUUUUAUUUCUUCAGUGUUUCUGGCAAAGGGUGUUGCCUGCAAAUUGCAAAUGGUUCCCAUCAGCAGACCUCUGCUAAUUUUAGAAGUGUUCUUCAGAGGGACUAUUUAAACAGGUAUCCUGGCAUGAACAGAGUUUUCUGCCCCCAGUCUUUGGAAAGUUUCACAGGCUGGGCACCUCUCCUCCACAGCCAACAAUGAUGUUUUGUGUCUUCAUCCCGGCUAAAGGGCCUGGCACACAAACAGCCCAGCCUAUUCAUUCCUAGAGCAAUUUUACAUAUGCGAGACCGAAGCCAAGAUGAAUGUCUUCUUCCCCGAUGUGCUCAAUUCAACCACAUUCUGUCUAGGAGAUUCUUGCUGUGUGGAAUGGCGUGUCCCAUGCAUGCUCCUGCUUCCUAUACACUGCCUCCUUAGCAUACCCUCGGCUGCAGUCUGGUUCUGUUGCUCAUUCUCUGUGCUCCUUGCUGACAGACAGCGUGUGUUAUGGCAACCAGGAACCAUAAGACUUUUCACAGGUUCAGAACCUUGUCACCCCCUCAGUCUCCCCAAAUCCUACCUCUUUGAUAAAGAGUUGCCAUCUAAAUUGGAAAGGAAGAGAGGGUGAGUGCAUCUUCAGUGUUCUUUGAAUGUCUGAACAGGUGUUAUCCCAAACUCCAUCUUCUUGAGGGGUGGGGUCUUGUUUUUGGGGAUGUAAAGCAAUGGUCUCAUUGGAAGGUACCUGAGUAAGGGGAAAAGCUGGAAAUUCAAAGCCACAGAGUAAAGGCAGAGACCAUCGAGUUGUUCUGAGUUAGAGAAGGCACAGCAGUGGGGCCAGGAUCCUUUGAAGAUCCAAGGAUCCCUGGUUCUGAUACAGGAGAAGGUUGGUGCCUAAUGCUUGUCUGGGCAGAAAAGUCCCAGGAGGGAGGUUGGGGAGACAGGCUCCCAAGCAAUGAAUGGUGCCUGGGCCCAUACACACCUGCAGGGGGCAGAAACAGGAGAUAAUGACUGGACAGGAUUAAGUGCCUACUGUAUACCAAAUACUGUACACACACAUGCAGUAGAGAGAAAUGGAAAAAAGCAUGCAGAAUUCAGACCCAGACCCUGUUCCCCAAUUGCCACUGGUUUACCAAACCAACAAAGGGAAAGGACUCAGAACUGGUCACCUCAAGGCAGUGAGAUGCGCUCAGCGACAUGGGGCUGAACCAUCGUGGAGGCGGUGAGGACUGACCACCACAGGCCUGGGGAGGAAGGGUGGAUCCGGGCAGAGAGCCCCACGAGGCAAAACCAGACUUCAGGUUUAGAAUGGAAAGCCUGUGACCUCUGACCUUUGUUUUCCAAAGACAGUUUUCUUUCAUUCCACUGUAAAGAACAACACAAUCAGCUCUCUCUUCUUUUUCCAGAGGCAUUCAUUUUACCAGCGUGAAUAUUUCAAGGUUGGGAAAAUUAGCUGAAAUGUUAAAAGUGCAGCGUUACCUUUCAGACAACUUCCCGCUGACUUUAUCCACAAAGGGAAAGACUCAUACUAAUUACAAGCUCCCAAUGUGCUGACUGUCCAGAAUAAGUAGGAAAGGGCAUCUUUCUCUCUGCAGUUGCGUGAAGCAGCAACAGAGAGCCUCUCUGUGUGA